Molecule: long non-coding RNA, 1582 nt
Organism: Arabidopsis lyrata subsp. lyrata
Lineage: Eukaryota; Viridiplantae; Streptophyta; Magnoliopsida; Brassicales; Brassicaceae
Exons: 4
Source: RefSeq, a predicted model, not a curated record
AUGCCGACUUGGUCUAUUUAGAAUAGAAAUUUCCUUUUUCUGGAUUUCUAGAUAUUUUUAAAUCUUUAAAAUUGUUAAAAGCCCUAUAUUCUCCACUGCCUCUCAGCUCCUAUAAAUACCUUGAUAGGGGUUUUCGUCCCAACUCAUAUUAAUCUAUAGCGUUUUAAACUGUUACAAUAGUUUUAUAUGAGUUUUAAUGGUUUUUAUUUAUGAUCGUAGGUGGAUGCAUGUAAGCUACGUUAUGAACCGAUCGAUGCAUGAAAAUUUGGAUCCUAUUUCGACAGAUAUAUUGGUGGAUGCAUGGAAGCUACGUUGUGAACCGAUCGAUGCAUGAAAAUUUGGAUCCUAUUUCGGCCGAUAAAUUGAUUUAAUUGGCGACGUGAAACGAUGCAUAAUAAUUUGGAAUAUGUCAACAAGUUGGAUGUGUGGAACAACUACGUGACUUGACGCAUGCAAAUUUGGAUCCAAUUUAAACUGAUCGAGAAUUAAUUAGUUUCUAUCUUUUAUGUCCCGAUUUUCUGUUUUUGUUAUGAAUCCACCUUUUCGUCCCCAAUUAGGUGUGGAAUUUGAAAGUUUGCUUCGGACGGAAGCAUUUUUGCUAUCCAUUGGGGAAAAGGGUUGGGUUUAGUUCUGUUCUACCUAUAAUCUAUUAGUUUGAUCAAUUUAUGCUUUUUUGUAUGCUGCACCAAUCUUUUAGUAUCAAAAUAUUAAACAAGCUAGGGUUUAUCUCUACACCUUUCAUCUAAUUCUAAUCUUUGACAAUUUUGUGCUUUUUUUGUUUGCUGCACCAAUCUUUUAGUUUCAAAAUAUUAAACAAGCUAGGGUUUAUCUCUACCCCUUUCACUAAUUCUAAUCUAUUUUUCAUUUUUUAAUCUUUCGUUUUCAGAAUCGGGGGAUCUAAAUUUUUUUUUAUAUAUAUAUUUUACCACCAUGAGUUCCUUGAUCCAAAUCAUUGAUGAAAAGGAAGGGGACGUUUAUCUUUUUUAGAUGAGGGCAAACGGUAGAAGAAGAGUGGUAGUUUAGAAAAGAGAAAAGAAAGCUUAUAGGUUAUCCACUAUAUAACAAUGAUUUAUUAUUAUGUUAAUAAUUUUUUAUUGGGGUUUAUAUCUUAAUUUUAGUAACUCUCUUUCUCUUGAAACUCUUUAUUGACAUUAGAUUUUCUGCUCAUUCACUCAUUAGUAGAUGUAGAAUUCUUCUCAUAAUACGAUGAAGAAAGCAUAUACAAAAUGGAUGGAAGUAAUUGGUGAAGGAAGCUAAAGGAUUCGUAUGCUCAGUCUAUUACACGCACCAGAUAUAUAGAGAUGUGUUGCAUGAGCUGGCUAUGGCUAAGUAGAUGUAGUUUUGAAUCCCAUUCAAUGAAAAAAAAAAGCUAGGGUUAAUUAUUUUUUUUAUUUUUUUUUGUCAUCAGCUAGGGUUAAUUAUAUCAUAUGAUUCAUGAACGUGUGAUCUCUUUUAACCUUAAUGUAUUUGUUUUAUGAUUUAGUGGGGUUUUUUUUUUGUUGGUUAUUUUAUGUGAUUAACAUGUAAUCUCCACGUAAAUAAUUCAUUAUUAUUCAUGUGAUCAAUCCUGCGGGCACAACAA